GCAUGUUGAUAAAUUAUGGAACAUGUUGGAUGGCAUAUGAAUGGUUGGUAUAUAUAUGUAGACAUAUUGUGGAAUAUGAUAAAUGAGUGCAUGUUGAUCUAGUGUAGAAUAUACUAGAUGAAUGUAUAUUGACAUAUUGUGGAUUAUGUUAAAUGACACAUGCAUGUUGAACUUGGGUCGAUAAACUCUAGGUGAAUUAGAGAACUCGACAAUGGAAAACAAUGACAUAUGAACUAUGAUAUGUGACGUGGACAAUCUAUAUAUAUUAAAUCGAGUGGCAUAUGAUUAGUAUAGUGGAAACACUUAUGGCAUGUUGAACACUUAGAAAACAAGUGUAGCAUGAGUCCAAGAAUAUAGUAGUGUAUAUGACACAAGUGAUAGUAAAGAAUGCAAGGAAAAGAAUGAUUGAAAUAUUAUGACAUUUCAACCCUAGAGUUAGGGUCAUUUGAGCAUAGUCUUCCUAAAGUUAAGGAAUGGAUUGAACUUGGAGUCCUCAAAUGUAGGAUUGAUCAUACUCACCUUUAGUCCUUGCUCGAGGUUGUGGUAGCUCCCCCUCCGGCGAUGUGCUCCGGAGUCGACAUCACUGGGUUGUAGCGGGUAUCUCCCCAGAGGACGGUCCCACCGGGUUGUAGUGGGUAUCUCCCCGGUUAAUGGAAUUUUGGGUUGGUGAGUUUGUUGAGGGCGAAACCUUCGGGUUAGCCAAGAGAUUGGGUAACAAGCACAUGAGCUGUAAUAAUAUCCUAGUUGAGUGGACUUAAGGCUGAGGUGCAAGUGAGACGUCCUUCACCUCGAGCCUGCCUUUGCGCAGUACUCCGCGAAUGAUUGACUCGAGACCGAGUCGGGUGGAUAGUUGAUAAAGGUAAAUGAGACCCUAAUGGUAAUUGAUAUGAGUUUAAAAUAGAGAAAUAACUUCGAGGUCAAUUGAAUGAGCUAUGAAUAGCAGGAUUAAAGUAGUUUCGAUUGAACUACUAAUUGGUUGCAUAAAUCGCAUGAGUUUCAUAUUGUAUGGUUGUGAGGCAUGACAUGUAUUUCAAUUAUCGCAUAUAUAUAUAUCUGUUGGAUAUUUGUUCGACUAACAUAUUGCAGUGCCUCCCUUGGACCUAUUGGUCGAGCUUUUCCCUUGGGUGGCCGUACCCACUAGGAAUUAUGGAGUUGGUUCUCACCCCACGUUGUUUUGGGGUGUUACAGGUUCAUACGUGAGCGGCGCAGCGGCGCGAGGCGAGGGCGUAGCUCCAUAGUUAGCGUCCUACCACCGAGACCAGAGAUAGCGGUACCCCAAGUCAGCCUAGCUAGGGGUGUAGAAGAAAAGAAAAGGAAAGAAUGAACAAUGUUGUAAUAAUUUUGAUUGUAUUUGGAAGUUAAAUGUAAAAUGUAAUUGUGAUGUAAAAUAUAUCUAGUGAAUGUGAAUGCUUGUAAUAACAAGUAGAUUAUGUUUUUGAUACUUUCUUAUGCAAUCUUUGAUUGAAAUGUGUUCCUGGUUGGAACUUUGUACAUUGUAUUGAUUGCGACGCCUUGAAUGUACAGGGGAGACUCUGUCCGCGGUACAGGGGAAACCCUGUCCGUUCGGCGGUCUGUUGCGGCGCCGCGACCCGGCCAAAUAGGCGGGCGGUCUCGGGGCGUGACAGAUAAGAUGGUAUCAGAGCAUAAAAAGAACAUAAAAAGAAUAAUAGAAAAUGGUUUAGUUGGACCUAGAAGACCCUAGGAUAGUAAACCAUAGGAGAUUAAGGCUCGUGAGAGACGAGGACUUGUGACUUUUGGCGAAAGGUUAAUUGAUUGGGUUGUGUCGUAAACCUCUAAAACGGAUGUUAGAGGUAGAUUCAAGGUGUGGUUUAUUCUCAACCGAUGGUGUUCGUGUUGGGCGCGCACAACAUGAAACCGAGUGAUGAGAAUAGACGCCCUUGCGUGACUUUCGCCCGAUUUGAGUCGGUAAUAAGUGUCUCGUGUUCGACCUAGAAGGUCGAGGAUUAAUAGAGUUGUCGCGUUUUAGGAAACGACAGCACUGCGUAGGCGAUCUUUGUUUAGAUCGGCGCGGGAUGGGCCAAGUGGUGUCCCUGGGCAAUUUGAGACGAGCGGAGACUUGAGACUUCGCGAGCGAUUGGCCACUCUCGUGUGUGUGGCGGGGUAAUGAGCCGAAUUAGUGCAGUGUCAGCAGAAGGCUGCCAUAUGCCGGGAGGAGCGAGUUAAGAGACUCCAAGAGUUGGGGGAUCAGUAGUGACCGCACCAGUUCCAGCUCGUUAAGUACGGCCGGGAGUCGCGACGAAGGUGUGGUGGACAGGCGUCGAGUGGAAUCGACUGCCUGGUCUCCCUCCUGUGGUUUGGGAUGAGUUUCGGGGAUCGGUAUUCUCUGUUUACUCCCCUGAUGGUGGAAAAGAAAGCUUCAGGAAAAGUUCUCGAAGCUGCGGCAGGUAGAUCGCGCCGUGAGGGAAUACGACCGGGAAUUCUCCCGUGUCGUGAAUUUCAUCCCGGACAUAGUGCGGGAUAAUGAGAACGAAACUCCUUUUGGGAGGGGAGAAUGUAACGUACUGAAAUUUCGGUAAAUAAACAUCAAACUUUAGUCAAAUUGACCAAAGUGCGUUGAGAGAAAUAGUUGGAUAAAGUCCAAUUGACAUUCCGACGAUGUUGGAAGGAUAAAAAUUGGGCUCUAAAAGAGUUAGAAUGGUUUUAGCAUCGAUCGGUGCGAGUUGGAGUCGAAAACAAGCUAAAACUACGUUCUGGAGGAAAGUGUACCGGUACAUGUUGAUGGUUGUACCGGUACAGCAAGCGGCCCGAGAAGAGCAUUGCUCUCGGGUUUGAGUUUUCGUAGAAGUGUACCGGUACGCCCCUGGUUUGUACCAGUACCCUUUGGUAAAAUCCGAGGAGGUUGCUCUCGGGUUUGCCUCUGCACAGCUUUGUACUGGUACAAAGCCCGUGUACCGGUACACAAUGGGUCUGACAGCAGGUUGAGAUCUGCUGCAAAUGAGAAAUGUUGGGGGGUUUAAAUGCAGUCGUGGCGGUUUGUAUAAACCCCACACCUCUUCUUUCCUUGUUCACAGCAAGGAGUACCCCUUCAACUCCAUAUUCUUUCUUCUCUCACUCUCUAGGAGCUUUUCUAAAGAGGAGGAUUAGAGGAGCUUUGAGGAUUAGGCCUUGUGGAUAGAACAAGACAGUGCAAUUGUGCGAAGGGAGCGUGAGUCCAUUCGCAAGGAAAAAGAAAAUAGGACAGCCAACGAGUCGAUUCGGUGGUCCGUCAAGUUUUCAACUGAGUGCAAUGUGUUCGCGCUCGUGAUCCCGAGUUUCGGGGACCUACUGUGUUUGGUCCUAAGUGAGAUGUGUCGUAUGUGGGUGUUUUCGUUACCCACAGUAUUGCGAGCUGUGAGAGGGCAAGUGCUACAGGUGUGGGCAACCGAGCUGUGGGCGAGACGAGUGUCCGCAAGGUGACAGCCGGGGCCUGACACUGGCGAGAGCCUAUUUCUCUCUAGGAUGGCCUGCAGGUGUGGCACCUGCGGUAUGGUCGUAAGAGGGGGCAUUAAAGACAAUGCAACCUUAUGGUUCGCGGCAAGCGCCGGUGGUCGUUGAUACGCGACCCAGGUUGAGGACCCUGCUGCUAACGACUCCGUUGCAGGUGUGGGUUAUUGAUGCAAGCAUAUGUUUUGCAUGAUGUGAAGUUGAUGCAUUGCAUGCAAUGAUUAUGUGGUUAAUUACAAUUGUCGUGCAUGACCAUAGUAGAGACCGAGUGGACGGGUAAGUAUCGAUACCCGGGCAUUCUCGUGUUGUGAGGGCGUAAUACCUACCAGUACAGGUAUAGAGCCAGAUGGCACUAGCGAAGUGCUAGAAGUAAUCUAUGAUGAAAAGUGAGACUCGCGGUAGAGACAGAAGUGGCGAAUCGACUUUCAGAGCAACUUAAUUAAUAGAUUGUUAGAGUUGAGCCGGGGUAUUUGAGAACACCCGAGUGGUUCGAAAAAAUUUUGGAUGUCAUUCCGGUAGAUCGAACAGUGAAAGUAGAAUCACUGUUGAGGGAAUAGUUGGUUAGUAACCAAGUGCAAGCAUGUAGGCCUAGUAGUACCUCAAUGUGAGGUAGGAGGGUCGUGCUUGUGUAGUCGGCGUACGUAGGCAAGAAUUGCCUAACACGGGACUUAGUGUGCAACGCUAUGGAGGCGUAUGACAUUCGAGUAGAGUUGCUCAUGGAGUGCGGGUUUAGUUCAGUUAAGAGAGUGUAUUGGCCGUAGCACUUGAGCGUUGCUAGGUGUGAAGCGUGCCAUGGAUGACUCGUGGGACGGGUGACUCGCAUUAGGUGCAUAGUAGCCGGUAGUGGUACGUGUGACUCGGUAGAGCAUGUCGUGCGAUUGAUAGAAUACCGAGAGUACGAGUGUGACCCAACCCGGAGAUCUGUAAUGGUUUGAGAUCUUAGUUGCUCCUGGUUGGAGUGUGUGCGAAUUCCCAAGUGAGAAUUUCGCCCGAUCAUGAUUGGGUCUGCAUUUGUGAGAGAGAGACACUGCGUAUUGAGACAGGUUUAAGCGGUAGGCCUACGUAGGAUUGGUGGCCUUUGGUCCACCUGUGGAGACCGAAGAGAGCGAUUUGGCAGAUAGCCUUAUCGAGGAGUUUGGCUUGGAUUCACGAACAAGGCGUUCGCAUGAGCUCGUUGCGAAAAUAGUUCGAUGUUGACCGUGGCAUAUGGUAUCAGAAGAUGAAGUGCUCUUGGUGAGACCUUGAGCUAGUAGUAAGCCACGUGGAGUUGGAGGAUUGGAAUUGGGGAUGUGCUAAGGUAGGCCAUUUCACGUUAAAGUUGAGGGUUAGUGCAAAUUUAGAGCACUCGCGACGGAGCGAUGCACCGGUGAUACUGCUCAAGCAAUGUCGGUGAUCGAAUCGGAGUGUAUUCCCUGAAGGGAAGGCCAAUACAAAGAAGAGUUCUUUGCGUGCCGAAUGGCGAGUGGUGUUGGAGUGCGUAGAGUCGUCGAGUAUUGACUUGCGCUGCCACUGUGACUUACAAGACCCGUGAUGCACUUCUGCAUUACACUUUGCGAAUGAAUUUAAGAAUAAACCCACGUCCUACAGUAUGAGCUACUCCUGGAACCACGAUAGUGUGAAGCCGCUCUGGAGUGGGAGAAGGAGUUGGUACCCUCAAUUGCUCGCAGAGCUGAAUUGAGGCGUGGUUUGAAUUUCGCGGACGAAAUUCUUUUUAAGGGAUGGAGAAUGUAACAUACCAUAUUUUGAUAUAAAAAUAAAAAUAAAUAAAAAUAGUGUGAGAAACUAUUUUUUUUGAAUUUAUAGGAGUAAAACAUAAGUUAGAAAUGACUUGUGCUGAAAUCGGACUGGAAACAGAAGAUUUAGAAUUUUCUGUUGGAAACGGGACAGAUAAAUUAGCAGAAAAUGCACAGUCUCAGAAAAUUAUAAAAAUUGGAGAAUAAGUCAGAAAUAUUUUUAUGAGGCUAGAUUUGAAGUUUCAUAUUUUUCUGACACCCGUAGAGUGAGAAAUAAAAUCCGAGAGUUAUCUGAUAAAGAUUACAGUUCGGUACAGUUUUCAAUGACCAAAUGGGGUCGAAACUAAAAACUUAAAAUAUAUUCUUACUCAGUACGUAAAACCGAACAUGACUGUCAAGUUUGAGCUUAAACGGACAUUCAGGGAGCUCUGGCGAAAGAUAUCAAAUUUCAAGCUGCCUGGAGUGAAUAAUGUUGGAGGUGUUGAUUAAAGAAGCUGAAGCUUCUUCUUCCUCAUUCGGCCGACCAUCACACGCACGCAUGGAGAGGGGGGAGAGAACCCUCCUUUCUCUCUCUAGAUUUCUCUCUCAUUUCUCUAUAUUUCUCGCUCAAAUUCGCGGGGUUGGUGGACAUGAUGCUUGCGAACGCGUUGGGAGCGACGGAUCGAGCUUUUGCGCGGCCGUUGGAGCGGCGUGUUCUCGUCGUGGCGUUCACAUUGAGGUAAGCUUUUGGGAUUUUGCUUAAUCCUUAAUGCUUAGUGUUCUAAUAGCCUCUAAUGUGUUGAUUAGCAUGUUGAAUCCAUUUAAUUUGGGUUAAUUGGAGCAUGUGUAGAGACUAGGUUUUUAAAAAUGGUAGAACCUUAGAGCUUUAAUUAUAUGCUCUAGGAAUGGGUUUAGAGGACUCUCUAUAUGAUAUCUACAUGCUAAUUGCUUGAAUCAUGAAUCAAUUUUGAAGCUUAUUGCAAUAGUAGCAUGUUAGGGCUCCAAUUUUGGGGUUUUAUAAAAUGUAUGGGUUUGAUCUAAAUUGACCCUAUGUAAACCUAAUUGCUAGGUAAACGAACGCGUUGGCGAAGUCGAUUCGGUGAUUCGUCGAGCCGUUACGAAGUUAUUAAAGAAACGGACGUUUAGGCUUCGUUUUCGCCCGCAGGGCCGAGGCGACAUCGUAUACUUAUGAAAACGGAUUUGAAGCAUCGUGGCACAUAACCGAAGACCUUUAAUUUUCGGAUCGUGAAUUGGAGGCCGUUCGGGUGGUCGCGCGAGAGAUCGGGCCAAACCGGGUGCUGGGUGCCGCGGGAGGCCGAUUGCAAGUGUCGACAAGCAAUCGGAAUGCGAAAUGAGGUGGGUUGUGCUCACCGAAGCGACUAGGUCGCCUAUAUGUCUAAGAGUAAUGGUUUUCUAAUUGAUACAUAUAGUUGUGUUGGUAGGCUUACAUGAUGAUAUGAAUGCUUGAAACAUACUAUGUAGUUGAGAUUACCUACCAAUGAGAUGAGAUGCAUAAUGAAUUAAAUGCUAAAAGAAUGCAUGAGUUAAUUGUCACAUGAAUGUAUGAAAAUAAUGUUAUAGUAAUAUGUUAGAGGUAAUAUGCAUGUUGAUAAAUUAUGGAACAUGUUGGAUGGCAUAUGAAUGGUUGGUAUAUAUAUGUAGACAUAUUGUGGAAUAUGAUGAAUGAGUGCAUGUUGAUCUAGUGUAGAAUAUACUAGAUGAAUGUAUAUUGACAUAUUGUGAAUUAUGUUAAAUGACACAUGCAUGUUGAACUUGGGUCGAUAAACUCUAGGUGAAUUAGAGAACUCGACAUUGGAAAACAAUGACAUAUAAACUAUGAUAUGUGACGUGGACAAUCUAUAUAUAUUAGAUCGAGUGGCAUAUGAUUAGUAUAGUGGAAACACUUAUGGUAUGUUGAACACUUAGAAAACAAGUAUAGCAUGAGUCCAAGAAUAUAGUAGUGUAUAUGACACAAGUGAUAGUAAAGAAUGCAAAGAAAAGAAUGAUUGAAAUAUUAUGACAUUUCAACCCUAGAGUUAGGGUCAUUUGAGCAUAGUCUUUCUAAAGUUAAGGAAUGGAUUGAACUUGGAGUCCUCAAAUGUAGGAUUGAUCAUACUCACCUUUAGUCCUUGCUCGAGGUUGUGGUAGCUCCCCCUCGGGCGAUGUGCUCCGGAGUCGACAUCACUGGGUUGUAGCGGGUAUCUCCCCAGAGGACGGUCCCACCGGGUUGUAGCGGGUAUCUCCUCGGUUAAUGGGAUUUUGGGUUGGUGAGUUUGUCGAGGGCGAAACCUUCGGGUUAGCCAAGAGAUUGGGUAACAAGCACAUGAGCUGUAAUAAUAUCCUAGUUGAGUGGACUUAAGGCUGAGGUGCAAGUGAGACGUCCUUCGCCUCGAGCCUGCCUUUGCGCGGUACUCCGCGAAUGAUUGACUCGAGACCGAGUCGGGUGGAUAGUUGAUAAAGGUAAAUGAGACCCUAUGAUUAGAAUGGUAAUUGAUGUGAGUUUAAA
This 7662-nucleotide long non-coding RNA is filed under the name Ananas comosus (pineapple). RNAcentral describes it as "long non-coding RNA (ACOM_LNC038046)". The record is from RNAcentral. Lineage: Eukaryota; Viridiplantae; Streptophyta; Magnoliopsida; Poales; Bromeliaceae.